CUACGGGGCGCAGCAGUGGGGAAUAUUGGACAGUGGGGGAAACCCUGAUCCAGCAAUGCCGCGUGUGUGAAGAAGGCCUGCGGGUUGUAAAGCACUUUCGGUUGGGAGGACUGCUUCUAGCACUAAUAUUGUUGGAAGUUGACGUUACCUUCAGAAGAAGCACCGGCUAACUCCGUGCCAGCAGCCGCGGUAAUACGGAGGGUGCAGGCGUUAAUCGGAAUUACUGGGCGUAAAGCGCGCGUAGGCGGCUAGAUCAGUCGGGUGUGAAAGCCCCGGGCUUAACCUGGGAACUGCAUCCGAUACUGUCUAGCUUGAGUACAGGAGAGGAGAGUGGAAUUCCACAUGUAGCGGUGAAAUGCGUAGAUAUGUGGAGGAACACCAGUGGCGAAGGCAGCUCUCUGGCCUGAUACUGACGCUGAGGUGCGAAAGCGUGGGGAGCAAACAGGAUUAGAUACCCGGGUAGUC
Molecule: ribosomal RNA, 465 nt
Filed under: uncultured bacterium
Lineage: Bacteria
Description: partial 16S ribosomal RNA
Rfam family: Bacterial small subunit ribosomal RNA
Source: RNAcentral